AAUCCUGCCGAUCUUGGCUUAUAUAAUAAGCUUCAGAGUCUUGGUAGAAAGAAAGCGAAGAGAAGGCUCUAAUGGCGAACUAGGGUUUCCAUUUGAUUCCGCAUUCCUCUCUUCUGAAGAUCUCGUUACCCAUUUUUCCAGCUUCAAUGAAGGUUGUUUCUUUCCGUUCCUCCGAUUUUACUUUGUUAUUUGCUUAUUUGAUAAUGUUCUUGAUUGAAAUUUUCUCCUGAGUGCUAUUUUCCUAGUAGUUUUGAUGAUUUUAACAUCUGUGCUUCUUGCUUGGUUUCUUUGAUGUUCUAGGUUAGGAUUUGGUGGAGUGUUGCUUUCUUGAUGAAUUGCCUGAUAAUUCUUGGUUUAUAUAUGUUAGAGUUGUGUUAUAGUUUAUAUUUGGUUAAUGGGCAUUAUUGGUUGAGAAAAACAAGACUCUUGAUAUUAUUUGUUAUUGUCUUCGUGAUUCUUGCUAGUUUUUUGCACCAGUUAGUUGAGUAUUAUGAUGUUUUCUUGGUAAUAUUGGAUUUGAUCAAUAAUUUUGAUGGGUUCAUCUAUUUUUAUUGAUUUGAGAAUCGAUAUCAGAUCGUUUUGGAUCAGGCGUUUGCUUUCUAGAGUUCUGCAGGAUUUCUUAUUCAUUGAGCAAACUCUUUCACAUCUUUUAGAUUUCACUAACACCAUACUUGAACCAUAAUUCAGGGAAAACAUUUUGGGAAGUUUGAUCAACAUGAAUUUUCUGCUGGUUUAUUGCAAGGAUUGUUUUGAUCAUAUUCAUGACUAUGAUAUUGAAGUUUUUGCAGCCAGUGUUCGCGCUGAAUUCAAGGCAUUUUACUUACGGCAGUCAUCUAUCAUUGCGGCAAUUGGUGAGGGCCGUGCAACUACCAUCCAUGCAACAACAGCAAAACAUUACUUUUGAUGGUUCAACAAUGAAAUGAGAGAUGUGGCAUGGAGGGCAUGGAGCUAACCAGAACGUUAUCCCACGUUCAGCAGCGCCAACAAGGCCGAAGCAGAGAGUGUAGUACUGGGCAGUGGGGAAGGCAGUAUUGGUGUAUCCUGCACCAAGUAAGUCAUUGUUGAAGUGCCACAGAUGAUCAUGACCUGGGGAAUAUCAGGUUGGAAGGUGAUGCAAAUCUUGGAAGGCAAGCUGGAGCUUCUAAAUCUGAGGAUUUCACCAUUAUUUGUUGCCUUGUAAAACUAUGCAAACAUAGAAAUAAUCAAGUUAUUUCAGGAUAGUAGUAUGAGGCAGAUUGUGGCCUUCUUGUCUUUGACUUCCCUAUAUAUAUAGGAAUGUUCUCUUGUAAAAGAUGUACUGAGAAAAAUUAUUUAAUAAAUAAAAAAAGGGAGGGAAGGAA
Long non-coding RNA from Dioscorea cayenensis subsp. rotundata (Guinea yam), 1340 nucleotides. RefSeq lists it as uncharacterized. The transcript has 4 exons. Lineage: Eukaryota; Viridiplantae; Streptophyta; Magnoliopsida; Dioscoreales; Dioscoreaceae. The record is from RefSeq and is a predicted model, not a curated record.